UACGUAGGUGGCAAGCGUUAUCCGGAAUUAUUGGGCGUAAAGAGCGCGCAGGUGGUUGAUUAAGUCUGAUGUGAAAGCCCACGGCUUAACCGUGGAGGGUCAUUGGAAACUGGUCGACUUGAGUGCUGUAGGGGAGACUGGAAUUCCUGGUGUAGCGGUGAAAUGCGCAGAUAUCAGGAGGAACACCAAUGGCGAAGGCAGGUCUCUGGGCAGUUACUGACGCUGAGGCUCGAAAGCGUGGGGAGCAAACAGGAUUAGA
This 259-nucleotide ribosomal RNA is filed under the name uncultured prokaryote. Its description in RNAcentral is "partial 16S ribosomal RNA". It matches the Rfam family "Bacterial small subunit ribosomal RNA", at positions 524 to 782 of the family's 1533-position model. The record is from RNAcentral.